GACGAACGCUGGCGGCGUGCUUAACACAUGCAAGUCGAACGGAAAGGCCCUGCUUUUGUGGGGUGCUCGAGUGGCGAACGGGUGUGUAACACGUGAGUAACCUGCCCUUGACUUUGUGAUAACUUCAGGAAACUGGGGCUAAUACCGGAUAGGAGCUCCUGCUGCAUGGUGGGGGUUGGAAAGUUUCGGCGGUUGGGGAUGGACUCGCGGCUUAUCAGCUUGUUUGUGGGGUAGUGGCUUACCAAGGCUUUGACGGGUAGCCGGCCUGAGAGGGUUACCGGCGACAUUGGGACUGAGAUACGGCCCAGAAUGCAACGGGAGGCAGGAGUGGGGAAUAGUGCAAAAUGGGCGGAAGCGUGAUGAAGAAAAGCAGCGUGCGGGAUGAAGGGCUUCGGGUUGUAAAAAGCUGUCGAAUGUGACGAAGCGUGAGUGACGGUAAUGGGUAAAGAAGCACCGGCUAACUACGUG
Molecule: ribosomal RNA, 468 nt
Filed under: uncultured bacterium
Lineage: Bacteria
Description: partial 16S ribosomal RNA
Rfam family: Bacterial small subunit ribosomal RNA
Source: RNAcentral